RNAcentral lists this long non-coding RNA (1233 nucleotides) under Bos indicus x Bos taurus (hybrid cattle). Its description in RNAcentral is "lncRNA (ENSBIXG00005023932.1)". The record is from RNAcentral. Lineage: Eukaryota; Metazoa; Chordata; Mammalia; Artiodactyla; Bovidae.
CUUUGCUUUUCCUAGAUCUCCUUGGGGCCUUCUCACAAGGCCCGGCAGCAGGCAGGAAGCAGCGGCGCCAUUGGGCAGGUCUGCUCCUGAAACUCCUCUGGCAGCCGUGCGGCUGGGACACCGCGCUGAGCGUCCACCUUCCCUCUCAUGGGACCAGAGGUCGGAAUGUGAUGGGACCAGAGGCCUGCCCGAGCCAGCUCCCUGCUCUGGUUGAAGGAGGAAGAAGGCCCAGCAGCAGCCCCGGAAGAAGCUCACAGGGGACCCUCCAUUCCCAGGAGUGCGGGCUCAUCGUGCAAGGCCGAGGGGACACGGGGGUGAGAGGAGCCUCAGCGCUGGACACUGUGGGACCUUGUCUGCUGAACAGACUCAAGGACUGCCUGUUGACCUUGGGAUCUGAGGAACAGGAGAGAUUUGGAUGGAUUGGGGCUAGCUGGGAGGGUUUCCAUGGUCUAAAGCACAGGCUGUGUCUCUCUGAGCUGAAAAUAUUAACUGCUGAGCACUAGCUCCCACCGAAAGGGGGUAUUGGUUAGAGGUGUCCUGAGAUGUAAGAGCUUCUUAGGGAGACAAGAGGAGAUACUAGGAGGAUGUGAAAUGCCCUGUAAAACCUGAACCACACGCCCAGCCUUCUGACCCCAGUUUUGGGAGGUAGCAGUCUCUUAUGCAUUUCCCUGGUGGCUCAGAUGGUAAAGAAUACACCUGUAAUGUAGGAGACCUGGGUUCCAUCUCUGAGUCGAGAAGAUCCCUGGAGAAGGAAAAGACAACCCAUUCCAGUAUUCUUACCUGGAAAAUCCCAUGGACAAAGGAGCCUGGUGGGCUACAGUCCAUGGGGUCCCAGGGACAUGAUUGAGAGACUAACACCCUUUCAGGUGAGGACAGCCAGUUUGCUGGGGCCUGAUCAGGGAGGGGCACAGGUGAGUGUUGCUUCUGACAAGUGAAAGAGUCUUUGGGCCUAGAAAAGAGGGAAAACAAAACCAAACUUUAGGCCCUGCCCUGAUGCUCCAGGCUGGUUGAAUCUAUCACCCCUUGUCCAGAGGAUUUAUCACCCCCUGCCCAACUACAAAUGCCAUCUCAACUAAAGAAUACCCAAAACAUCCCGCCUGACUGUUUCCCUUAUCGCUUCCACAAACCUCCCUUUAAAUAUGAAGCCUCCCUGAUCCCUCUCAGGCUCAGCCUGGUCGUUAGGCCUACUGCCGCCCCUCUUUGCCUGAAUAAAGGUAACCUACUUCCGUUCCA